GUUCAAGUACAUAGUGGAUGCUAGGGGUAGUAGUCUUACAACAUGAAUAACACUCCUAUAAUUUUUUUCUAAUGUAGGCCAAAAAAUAUACAAAGAAAAUCCAAGUUCUGAGAAAAAGCCACAAAAUAGCCCUACCCGCAAGCCUGCUUGACAGCCUGACGUGCAGAGAAACAGGCCAGCCAGUAAUUUUUUUUUUAAGGACUACAAAAAUAAUGUCCAGCACAUGAUCUUCAACUGAGGCCAGGAGCUCUCCUCCAAGACGGCGUCGUUGACAUGAUACAUCAUCAUCUGUGGAGAAGAGGCUUCCCGGCCCAGAGACGGCAGGAGAAGAGGAAGUCAGUGGUGGAGGACAGCAAGCGUCAGCUCAUCCAGUUGACUCCGAGAGAGGUCGUCGAGCCCCAGCCAGAGGAAGUCCGGGAACACGCGGCGGUCGUGGUCGUCGUUCCCGAGGCUCCACCAGAACGGAUGAGGACAACAACCUCAUCCAGAUGAUGGAGGACCGACCACCAUUGUGGGACCACGCAGAGCAUAAUGCAUCCCGGCUCCUCUGGCUCUAGAUCUGUGAGGCGAUAGUGCCAAAUUGCGACGACCUCAGUGAAAGUCAUCGGGAUGAGUGCCGGAUGACAAUCAUGGUGUGGUGGCGGUCAAUGAGGUACCGCUAAAAGAAGACUUCAACGAGGAGGUCAAGCGCCCGAGUGGGUCUCGAGGAACACGCAAGCGGCCGUACCAUUAUGCGGCUGCAUUAGGCUUCCUUCGAAGAACCCUACAGCUGCGAAGCACAUCAAGCAGUACUCAGGUGCCCGAACCUCCUCGUGAAGGCCUUCCGGAGGCUAUCGCACCGGAGACGGUCCCUGAAGAGCCACCCACCGCGGGUCCCUCUGGUCCUACUCCAACAGCUGGUUGGGACCUCAAUGUUCCCCUACCUGUGCCCUCUGGCGACUGAAUGAUGGCCAGUAGGAGCCGUCAGGCGGACUACGAGGAUCUCACAAGGCUCGUUUACGAGUCCUUGAUGGGAUUCACCAAUAGAGUUGCCGCUUUGGAGGACACUGUGCGACGUCGCAGUUGGGUCCGGUGCAUCACUAUGGGUUAUGGAAUGGUUUAUGCCCGACCACCUGUUUGAGGCCUGAAGACAGGUGGACAGUGUCUUGUGGCAAGUACAGCACCGCCCCACAUCCUAUCUUCCAUCCAUGCCCUAUCCCCCAUCCCAACCUCAACAACCCCCUUCCCAAACUACCCAUCCCCCUUCCCAACCUCCUCAGUCCCCAUCCUAGCCUCCCCAUUCCCAAUCCGCCGAGCUCUUUACUCAACACUUUUCUCCUCCUCAUUACUUUCCUCCCACCAGUUUCAACACUCCCUCUACUCUUGCUCGGCCAACUCCUUCUCCUGCCCCUCCCUCAAGAUUGCACACUCCCUCUGUUGUACUUGCCACAACACACACUUAUAUGUCCACAGGGGCACAAGAACAGGACC
Bufo gargarizans (Asiatic toad) is the source of this 1470-nucleotide long non-coding RNA. RefSeq lists it as uncharacterized. The transcript is spliced from 7 exons. NCBI's taxonomy places the organism in Eukaryota, Metazoa, Chordata, Amphibia, Anura, Bufonidae. The record is from RefSeq and is a predicted model, not a curated record.